UGAGUCGGAUGCCAUUUGACAUGGGGCCGAUGUUGGCGGGGACCUCCGCAUCCAUUUCUAUCCCCUCGCCCUUUUUGUCCUAUUCAGUCCUGUCCUCCUUUCGUCGUAUAGCUUCGCACAAGUGCCGCGCGGCUCCCACCGGAAUGCCCUUUUCAUACACACUGCAAGUUUGUAUUUAGAUGCAUAACAUCUAUUAAAGAUAAUUAAUAUCCUAUCCAUCGUCAUUAACUAAUCAAGUGAAAAACCUACUCACUAACGCUCUUUCGAUCUACCCAUUGUUUAAAAAAUGUCAUUAUAAUCAGUUGCUCCGAAACCUAUAAAUAAUAUUCAUCCAAAGUCGAUUAAUAAUAUUAAAAAUAUAUGAUAUUCUCUCAAUCAUUUUAUUAGAUUAAAUUAUAAUAAAUAAUAUAAAAAUUAAUUUAUAGAUUAAAUCUCAUAUGUGUUAUGUUGGAGUUUGACCCGUAGCCUUACUUGAGAAAGAUUGUAACGCCCCAAUUUAACCCCACAUCAAAAUGGCAUAGACUUGAAUUCAUAUAUUAGAGUGUGAUAGAUGUAUUAUUAUUAAUUUAGAUUUAAAUGUUUUCGGUUUAUCGAUUUAAUAGAGAUCAUGUCAUGACAAUAAACACUAAAAAUCUUAAACUCACAAAUCUACUACUAAAAGCUUCAGACACUCCGGACGUUGACCCUAAAGCUUUUGAGCAAACACCAAUGAAACCUAGCAGCCAUCAGAAGCUCCCAUCAUUGCGCUCAUCAAUGCUAAGAGGCUCCUGAUGACGAUGACUAAGGUGAUGCUGGCGAAGCUUCGUCGAAGAUGAUAGCCCCCCCAGUUGUCCAAGUUAUCCAAUGGUGCCGAUGAGGAUGAUGAUGACAGACAAACAAGCAAAACAUCCACAAUGGCAUUUGUUUUAGCUGUUCUUGACGCGACAAAUCUUGAAAGAUCUGAAUGAACAAGUUUUUCUUGAAAUGCAGAUGCAUGUCACUGUAUAUGUCAAGCAACAGAAUUAGAUCAACAGAGAUCAAUAUGGCUUGCACUCAAAAUAUCAAUGUAGCCAAUGGCGAUCAUACAAGUGACAUGUAGAACACAUAUGAAGCUACCAAUAUCUAACAAGUAAAGCCAAAGUUUAGGCUGUAAUAAGUCAACAUGAAGUUUUGAAUAAGUUCUUCUACUUAUCAUUUCUUGUUUUCUAAAAGCAACCAGAAACACAUUAAGUCAGAAACAUAAGCUCUUAAAAUAGCAAGUGAAAUCAAGCAUAUGAGGAAUAAUCUAUUGGUAUGAAACCAGUGAAACUUUAUACUGAUUCAGAAAAUUAAGUAUAUACUAUAAUAUAAAUAAAACAUGCAGUAGAUUUGUUGAUAAUAGAUUUAUGCUCGCUCUACUUUGUAUAAAAACUGACUUCCAUCACGAUCUACCAUGUAUAUAACAAGGAACGUUUAGGCUGUAACAAGCCAACAUGGAGUUUUCAAUGAGUUAUCCUAUUUUUCAUUUCUUGUUCUCUAAGAGCAACCAGAAAGACCUCAAGUCAUAAACAAAAGUUAUUAACAUAGCAAGUGAAAUCAAACAAAUAGAGGAAUACUCUAUUUGUAUGAAAUCAGUGAAACUUUAUACAGAUUUAGAAAAUUAAUGUAUACACUAUAAUAUUGAUAAAACAUACAGCAGAUUUGUUGAUAAUAGAUUUAUUAUGCUCGCUCGACUUUGCAUAAAUAUUGGCUUCAUCACAAUCUACCAUAUAUCUAACAAGGAAAGCCAAAGUUUAGGCUGUAAUAAGCCAACAUGGAGUUUCCAAUGAGUUGUCCUUUUUCUCAUUUCUUGUCUUCUAAGAGCAACCAGAAAAGACCUCAAGGCAUAAAAACAAACUCUUAAAAUAGAAAAUGAAACCAAGGAAUACUCUAUUGGUACAAAACCGGUGAAACUUUUUACUUAUUUAGAAAAUUUAAGUAUAAACUAUAAUAUUGGUAAAACAUAGAGUAGACUUGUUGAUCACAGAUUUAUUCUCAUUCUAAUUUGCAUAAAAACAGUUUUCACCUCAAUUUAUCAUAAUCAGCCAAAGUUUAGGCCGUAAUAAGCCAACAUGAAAAAAACAAUCCAACAUGAAGUUUUCAACGAGUUCUUCUAUUUUUCAUUUCUUGUAUUGUAAGAGCAACCAGAGAAAUAAAUCAUAACAAUAUAUUUAUGCUCACUCUACUUUGCUUAAGGACUUCAUGUAUGAAAAUCUAACACUAACCACUGACAAUUAUUAGAAAAGAACACUACAUUUGUUGUAAACUUAGUCACCUGGAGUGGGUUCAAUUGACCAUCUCCAGCGGUUUAGCUCUAUGAAGGUCCAUGUUUCCAUUAAUCCAAAAGACCAUUUCUUCGUUCUGGAACAUAUGAACCUUCACAUGCAGAAACCCUCGGUUCUAGCUUAAGACUGGAUCUACUAUUUUGACCUCAGACCGAUCACAAGAGAACCAAUCAAUACUAUCCCAAGGCAAAAUGAAAUCAUAAAUUGGUAGCAACCAUGAAAGCAGAAUUCAACUGAACUUAAUCCCGACGAUCUCCAUUGCCGAAACCUUAACAGAGAAAUCCAAAUACCAAUAGUCAAAUUAAAACCAAACUACCAAAGAGAUAAGCUACAAAUCCUAUAAGCCCAUAAGUCCAGGAGAAACAAAAUAGAGGCAGAAAAAGGCGCUAGAUCUCGGCCAGCGUAAACGCGAGUUUGAUGAGGAAGAGGAGCGGCAGACCGACCUGAGAGAGAGACCUUC
This 2742-nucleotide long non-coding RNA is filed under the name Musa acuminata (dwarf banana). RNAcentral describes it as "long non-coding RNA (MACU_LNC003353)". Lineage: Eukaryota; Viridiplantae; Streptophyta; Magnoliopsida; Zingiberales; Musaceae. The record is from RNAcentral.